RNAcentral lists this ribosomal RNA (373 nucleotides) under uncultured bacterium. RNAcentral's name for it is "bacterial SSU rRNA". It matches the Rfam family "Bacterial small subunit ribosomal RNA", at positions 523 to 898 of the family's 1533-position model. The record is from RNAcentral.
AUACGUAGGGGGCGAGCGUUGUCCGGAAUUACUGGGCGUAAAGAGCACGUGGGCGGCUAUAUAAGUCAGGUGUGAAACACCUGGGCUUAACCGAGGGUAUGCAUCUGAAACUAUAUAGCUUGAGUCAAGGAGAGGAGAGCGGAAUUCCUGGUGUAGCGGUGAAAUGCGUAGAGAUCAGGAAGAAUACCGGUGGCGAAAGCGGCUCUCUGGACUUGAACUGACGCUGAGGUGCGAAAGCGUGGGGAGCAAACAGGAUUAGAUACCAUGGUAGUCCACGCCGUAAACGAUGGAUACUAGGUGUGGGUGAGGAAUCAUCCGUGCCGGAGUUAACGCAAUAAGUAUCCCGCCUGGGGAGUACGGCCGCAAGGUUGAA